AGCCGAUGAUGGUUCAAGAGUAGUGGACAGAAGUGAUUUCUGACAACAUAGAAAAAAUACUGAGGCU
Hyla sarda is the source of this 67-nucleotide small nucleolar RNA. RefSeq annotates it as small nucleolar RNA SNORD75. NCBI's taxonomy places the organism in Eukaryota, Metazoa, Chordata, Amphibia, Anura, Hylidae. The record is from RefSeq and is a predicted model, not a curated record. The transcript has a single exon.